GUUUGCAGAAAUGAGCGAUAGGAUUGUACCUGUGGCGAUCAACUGCAAGCAAAGUAUGUUCUAUGGAACAACCGUACGCGGCGUCAAAUAUUGGGAUCCUUAUUUCUUCUUUAUGAACCCAAGGCCAACCUAUGAGGUCAAAUUCCUGGAACGCUUGCCGGAAGAGAUGACCGUUAAGGCCGGAGGGAAAUCACCCAUCGAGGUGGCGAAUUAUGUGCAGAAGGUGUUGAGUGAUGUGUUGGGGUUUGAGCGCACUGGAUUAACCAGGAAGGAUAAGUACAUGUUGCUU
This 289-nucleotide unclassified non-coding RNA is filed under the name Hevea brasiliensis (rubber tree). The record is from RNAcentral. Lineage: Eukaryota; Viridiplantae; Streptophyta; Magnoliopsida; Malpighiales; Euphorbiaceae.